RNAcentral lists this small RNA (251 nucleotides) under Arabidopsis thaliana (thale cress). RNAcentral's name for it is "ATSL091420". Lineage: Eukaryota; Viridiplantae; Streptophyta; Magnoliopsida; Brassicales; Brassicaceae. The record is from RNAcentral.
AAAAAGACAACAUUAAAAUCGAACUUCACAUAUUUGGACAAGUUUUGUGUGCUGCACUUUUGCAUCAGCAACACCUUGCAUUCAUAGCUCGCACUCGGGGCUGAGCCCAGUAAGCUCCAUCAAUUUGUACCCAUCCUCCGUCCUCUGCAUAAGGCUCCACCCAUAAAGGUGCCCUGUAGCAUUUUUCAACGAAAUUCUCAUAUGCUAUUCCUUUGUACAAUACAGCAGUCAAGGCAUGGGUAUUGUUUGCU